CAGACGAUGCGUCAUGCAUAUCAAUAAGCGGAGGAAAAGAAACUAACAAGGAUUCCCCUAGUAACGGCGAGUGAAGCGGGAAGAGCUCAAAUUUGAAAUCUUAAAGGGUUUCCCUUUACGAAUUGUAGUUUAAAGAAGUGUUUUCUGUUGAGGUUUUGGUAAAAGUUCUUUGGAAUAGGACAUCAUAGAGGGUGAGAAUCCCGUAUUUGACCUUUACUCUCAACUUUGUGAUACACUUUCAAAGAGUCGGAUUGUUUGGGAAUGCAGUCCAAAAUGGGUGGUAAAUUUCAUCUAAAGCUAAAUAUUAGCGAGAGACCGAUAGUGAACAAGUACCGUGAGGGAAAGAUGAAAAGAACUUUGAAAAGAGAGUUAAACAGUACGUGAAAUUGUCAAAAGGGAAGCGUUUGACACCAGUGUUGUUUUUCUGAAAAUCAAUUAAAGAACUGUUUAUGCUAAGUUGUUUAGACUUUAUCAGCUAACUGUUUAGUUUUGAGCUUUUCUUUAAUGCACUUUUCAGUUAACAAGUCAACAUCAAUUUCUUUUGCUGUAAAAAAGCUUGAGGAAGGUGGCUUGAGAUUCGUCUUAAGUGUUUAUAGCCUCUUGCCUAUGCAGUCGGAGAGAUUGAGGUCUGCAGCGUAGAUCCUUCGGGGCUAAAUGCAUUUGUGCUAAGUUAUAGCAUUUUAUAGACAACUUGUUGACUAUGAUUUGUCUUGUAGCUUACUCGCUUAUGUUAUUUUACCUACGCUUAGGAUGUUGAAUCUGUGCGAGACUAC
Molecule: ribosomal RNA, 773 nt
Filed under: uncultured Neocallimastigales
Lineage: Eukaryota; Fungi; Neocallimastigomycota; Neocallimastigomycetes; Neocallimastigales
Description: partial large subunit ribosomal RNA
Rfam family: Eukaryotic large subunit ribosomal RNA
Source: RNAcentral